UUCGACGCAACGCGCAGCACCUUACCAGCUCUUGACAUGGCCGGACGGUUUCCAGANAUGAUCCUAUCCGGAACAGGUGUGACGAGCGCAACCCUCGCCAUUAGUUGCCAGCGGGAUGUCAAGUAUCAUGGCCCUUACGGGCUGGCUACAUACAUGGCGGUGACAUGGGCAGCAACUCAGCAAUGGGAAGCUUCUCAAAAAGCCGUCUCAGUUCGGAUUGGGCUGCAACUCGAGCCCAUGAAGUCGGAAUCGCUAGUAAUCGGGAUCAGCAUGCCACGGUGAAUACGUUCCCGGGCCUUGUACACACCGCCGUCACACCAUGGGAGUUGGCUUUACCCGAAGACGANGCGCUAACCAGCAAUGGAGGCAGCCNGCCACGUAGGGUCAGCGACUGGGGUGAAGUCGUACAAGG
Molecule: ribosomal RNA, 412 nt
Filed under: uncultured Alphaproteobacteria bacterium
Lineage: Bacteria; Pseudomonadati; Pseudomonadota; Alphaproteobacteria
Description: bacterial SSU rRNA
Rfam family: Bacterial small subunit ribosomal RNA
Source: RNAcentral